CCUACGGGAGGCAGCAGUGGGGAAUAUUGCACAAUGGGGGGAACCCUGAUGCAGCGACGCCGCGUGAGUGAAGAAGUAUUUCGGUAUGUAAAGCUCUAUCAGCAGGGAAGAAGAUGACGGUACCUGACUAAGAAUCCCCGGCUAACUACGUGCCAGCAGCCGCGGUAAUACGUAGGGGGCAAGCGUUAUCCGGAUUUACUGGGUGUAAAGGGAGCGUAGACGGCAGGGCAAGUCUGGCGUGAAAGCCCGGGGCCAAACCCCGGGACUGCUUUGGAAACUGCCAUGCUAGAGUGCUGGAGAGGUAAGCGGAAUUCCGAGUGUAGCGGUGAAAUGCGUAGAUAUUAGGAGGAACACCAGUGGAGAAGGCGGAUUACUGGACAGUAACUGACGUUGAGGCUCGAAAGCGUGGGGAGCAAACAGGAUUAGAUACCCGGGUAGUC
RNAcentral lists this ribosomal RNA (440 nucleotides) under uncultured bacterium. Its description in RNAcentral is "partial 16S ribosomal RNA". It matches the Rfam family "Bacterial small subunit ribosomal RNA", at positions 338 to 795 of the family's 1533-position model. The record is from RNAcentral.